GGGUGUAUAUCUCAAGUGGUAGAGCAUGUGCUUAGCAUGCACGGGGUCAUGGGUUCAAUCCCCAGUACCUCCC
RNAcentral lists this transfer RNA (73 nucleotides) under Camelus bactrianus (Bactrian camel). It matches the Rfam family "tRNA". Rfam says of the family: Transfer RNA (tRNA) molecules are approximately 80 nucleotides in length. Their secondary structure includes four short double-helical elements and three loops (D, anti-codon, and T loops). RNAcentral also lists the same sequence under 1 other name. The record is from Rfam by way of RNAcentral. Lineage: Eukaryota; Metazoa; Chordata; Mammalia; Artiodactyla; Camelidae.